RNAcentral lists this microRNA precursor (56 nucleotides) under Paramuricea clavata. The record is from RNAcentral. Lineage: Eukaryota; Metazoa; Cnidaria; Anthozoa; Malacalcyonacea; Plexauridae.
CCAGGCUCUUUCCACUACGCUCUUCCAGCGAGGAGCGUAGUGGAAAGAGCCUGGGU